RNAcentral lists this ribosomal RNA (225 nucleotides) under uncultured bacterium. Its description in RNAcentral is "partial 16S ribosomal RNA". It matches the Rfam family "Bacterial small subunit ribosomal RNA", at positions 111 to 334 of the family's 1533-position model. The record is from RNAcentral.
UAACGCGUGAGCAAUCUGCCUUUAAGAGGGGGAUAACAGUCGGAAACGGCUGCUAAUACCGCAUAAAGCAUCAAAUUCGCAUGUUUUUGAUGCCAAAGGAGCAAUCCGCUUUUAGAUGAGCUCGCGUCUGAUUAGCUAGUUGGCGGGGUAACGGCCCACCAAGGCGACGAUCAGUAGCCGGACUGAGAGGUUGAACGGCCACAUUGGGACUGAGACACGGCCCAG